GCGGAUGUAGCGAAGUGGCCAAACGUGCACGGUUCAGAGCCGUGUGGCUUAGUGCCUUCGCAGGUUCGAAUCCUGCCAUCCGCA
This 84-nucleotide transfer RNA is filed under the name Candidatus Woesearchaeota archaeon. RNAcentral's name for it is "tRNA-Leu". It matches the Rfam family "tRNA". Rfam says of the family: Transfer RNA (tRNA) molecules are approximately 80 nucleotides in length. Their secondary structure includes four short double-helical elements and three loops (D, anti-codon, and T loops). Lineage: Archaea; Nanobdellati; Candidatus Woesearchaeota. The record is from RNAcentral.